CCUACGGGUGGCAGCAGUGAGGAAUAUUGGUCAAUGGACGAGAGUCUGAACCAGCCAAGUAGCGUGAAGGAUGACUGCCCUAUGGGUUGUAAACUUCUUUUAUAUGGGAAUAAAAUGUUCCACGUGUGGGAUUUUGUAUGUACCAUAUGAAUAAGGAUCGGCUAACUCCGUGCCAGCAGCCGCGGUAAUACGGCGGAUCCGAGCGUUAUCCGGAUUUAUUGGGUUUAAAGGGAGCGUAGGUGGAAUGUUAAGUCAGUUGUGAAAGUUUGCGGCUCAACCGUAAAAUUGCAGUUGAAACUGGCAGUCUUGAGUACAGUAGAGGUGGGCGGAAUUCGUGGUGUAGCGGUGAAAUGCUUAGAUAUCACGAAGAACUCCGAUUGCGAAGGCAGUUCACUGGACUGCAACUGACACUGAGGCUCGAAAGUGUGGGUAUCAAACAGGAUUAGAUACCCCAGUAGUC
RNAcentral lists this ribosomal RNA (460 nucleotides) under uncultured bacterium. RNAcentral describes it as "partial 16S ribosomal RNA". It matches the Rfam family "Bacterial small subunit ribosomal RNA", at positions 338 to 795 of the family's 1533-position model. The record is from RNAcentral.